This is a microRNA precursor of Oryza sativa Japonica Group (Japanese rice), 206 nucleotides long. It matches the Rfam family "MIR812 microRNA precursor family". The record is from Rfam. Lineage: Eukaryota; Viridiplantae; Streptophyta; Magnoliopsida; Poales; Poaceae.
UCCAAGGCAAACCGUGGGUUUGCGUGCCAACGUUUGACUGUCCGUCUUAUAUAAAAUUUUUUUAUAAUUAGUAUUUUUAUUAUUGUUAGAUGAUAAAAUAUGAUGAAUACUUUAUGCGUGACUUAUCUUUUUAAUUUUUUUCAUAAUUUUUUUAAAUAAGACCGACGGUCAAAUAUUGGACACGGAAACCAGUGUUUGUCUUUUUU